Molecule: ribosomal RNA, 600 nt
Filed under: Halomonas ventosae
Lineage: Bacteria; Pseudomonadati; Pseudomonadota; Gammaproteobacteria; Oceanospirillales; Halomonadaceae
Description: bacterial SSU rRNA
Rfam family: Bacterial small subunit ribosomal RNA
Source: RNAcentral
UGCGGCAGCCGUACACAUGCAGUCGAGCGGAACGAUGGAGCUUGCUCCAGGCGUCGAGCGGCGGACGGGUGAGUAAUGCAUAGGAAUCUGCCCGGUAGUGGGGGAUAACCUGGGGAAACCCAGGCUAAUACCGCAUACGUCCUACGGGAGAAAGCAGGGGAUCUUCGGACCUUGCGCUAUCGGAUGAGCCUAUGUCGGAUUAGCUUGUUGGUGAGGUAAUGGCUCACCAAGGCGACGAUCCGUAGCUGGUCUGAGAGGAUGAUCAGCCACAUCGGGACUGAGACACGGCCCGAACUCCUACGGGAGGCAGCAGUGGGGAAUAUUGGACAAUGGGCGAAAGCCUGAUCCAGCCAUGCCGCGUGUGUGAAGAAGGCUUUCGGGUUGUAAAGCACUUUCAGUGAGGAAGAAAGCCUUGGGGCUAAUACCCCCGAGGAAAGACAUCACUCACAGAAGAAGCACCGGCUAACUCCGUGCCAGCAGCCGCGGUAAUACGGAGGGUGCGAGCGUUAAUCGGAAUUACUGGGCGUAAAGCGCGCGUAGGCGGCGUGAUAAGCCGGUUGUGAAAGCCCCGGGCUCAACCUGGGAACGGCAUCCGGAACU